Molecule: ribosomal RNA, 195 nt
Filed under: uncultured bacterium
Lineage: Bacteria
Description: partial 16S ribosomal RNA
Rfam family: Bacterial small subunit ribosomal RNA
Source: RNAcentral
CCUACGGGAGGCAGCAGUAGGGAAUCUUCGGCAAUGGGGGGAACCCUGACCGAGCAACGCCGCGUGAGUGAAGAAGGUUUUCGGAUCGUAAAGCUCUGUUGUUAAGGAAGAACGAGUGUGAGAAUGGAAAGUUCAUACUGUGACGGUACUUAACCAGAAAGGGACGGCUAACUACGUGCCAGCAGCCGCGGUAAU